Molecule: ribosomal RNA, 734 nt
Filed under: uncultured archaeon
Lineage: Archaea
Description: bacterial SSU rRNA
Rfam family: Archaeal small subunit ribosomal RNA
Source: RNAcentral
GUAGUCCUGGCUGUAAACGCUGCCCACUUGGUGUUGCCCUUUCCUUGGGAAGGGGCAGUUCCGGAGCGAAGGUGUUAAGUGGGCUGCUUGGGGAGUAUGGUCGCAAGGCUGAAACUUAAAGGAAUUGGCGGGAGAGCACCGCAACGGGAGGAGCGUGCGGUUUAAUUGGAUUCAACGCCGGAAAACUCACCAGGGGAGACCAUGGUAUGAGUGUCAGCCUGAAGAGCUUACACGAUCACAUGGAGAGGUGGUGCAUGGCCGUCGUCAGCUCGUACCGUAGAGCGUUCACUUAAGUGUGAUAACGAGCGAGACCCUUGCCCAUAUUUGCCACCUUCCUCGAGAGAGGAAGAGCACUAUAUGGGGACCGCUAGCGUUAAGCUAGAGGAAGGAGAGGUCAACGGCAGGUCAGUAUGCCCCGAAUCCCCUGGGCAACACGCGCGCUACAAAGGACGGAACAAUGGGUUGCAACUUCGAAAGGAGGAGCUAAUCCCGAAAUCCGUCCGUAGUUCAGACUGAGGGCUGUAAUUCGCCCUCACGAAGCUGGAUUCCGUAGUAAUCGCGGAUCAACAGUCCGCGGUGAAUAUGCCCCUGCUCUUUGCACACACCGCCUGUCAAGCCAUCCGAGUUGGUUUUGGAUGAGGGCCCACUUUUUGGUGGGUUCGAAUCCAAGAUCGAUGAGGAGGGCUAAGUCAUAACAAGGUAUCCGUAGGGGAACCUGCGGCUGGAUCACCUCC